RNAcentral lists this ribosomal RNA (368 nucleotides) under uncultured soil bacterium. Its description in RNAcentral is "bacterial SSU rRNA". It matches the Rfam family "Bacterial small subunit ribosomal RNA", at positions 26 to 386 of the family's 1533-position model. The record is from RNAcentral.
AGAUUGAACGCUGGCGGCAGGCCUAACACAUGCAAGUCGAGCGGCAGCACGGGUACUUGUACCUGGUGGCGAGCGGCGGACGGGUGAGUAAUGCCUAGGAAUCUGCCUGGUAGUGGGGGAUAACGCUCGGAAACGGACGCUAAUACCGCAUACGUCCUACGGGAGAAAGCAGGGGACCUUCGGGCCUUGCGCUAUCAGAUGACGCCUAGGUCGGAUUAGCUAGUUGGUGGGUAAUGGCUCACCAAGGCGACGAUCCGUAACUGGUCUGAGAGGAUGAUCAGUCACAGUGGAACUGAGACACGGUCCAGACCUCCGUACGGGAGGCAGCGAGGUGGGAAUAGUUGGACAAGUGGGACGAAACGCCUAGA